RNAcentral lists this ribosomal RNA (405 nucleotides) under uncultured bacterium. RNAcentral describes it as "partial 16S ribosomal RNA". It matches the Rfam family "Bacterial small subunit ribosomal RNA", at positions 29 to 525 of the family's 1533-position model. The record is from RNAcentral.
AUUGAACGCUGGCGGCAGGCCUAACACAUGCAAGUCGAGCGAGCGGCGGACGGGUGAGUAAUGUCUGGGAAACUGCCUGAUGGAGGGGGAUAACUACUGGAAACGGUAGCUAAUACCGCAUACCAUCAGAUGUGCCCAGAUGGGAUUAGCUGGUAGGUGGGGUAACGGCACACCUAGGCGACGAUCCCUAGCUGGUCUGAGAGGAUGACCAGCCAAACGGGAACUAAGACAGGGUCCAGACUCCUACGGGAGGCAGCAGGGGGGAAUAUUGCACAAUGGGCGCAAGACUGAUGCAGCAAUGCCAGGUGUGUGAAGAGGGCCUUCGGGUUGUAAAGAACUUUCAGCGGGGAGGCGUUACCCGCAGAAGAAGCACCGGCUAACUCCGUGCCAGCAGCCGCGGUAAUU